This is a non-coding RNA of Camelina sativa (false flax), 501 nucleotides long. Lineage: Eukaryota; Viridiplantae; Streptophyta; Magnoliopsida; Brassicales; Brassicaceae. The record is from RefSeq and is a predicted model, not a curated record.
AAAGGUGAUUCACUCUAGGGCUAUUCUUAGCCACUCUUAUUCCCAGGAGACUACCAUCACCCUGUGCUCUUGUACAGAGACCAGAGAGCACCUCACUGCAGAGUAUGAAGAUAUACGGAGACAGAGGGUCACCCUGGCGGAUGCCUCUCUGAGGGGUCACCGAUCCUUGAGCUGCCCCAUUCAGCAGGAAAGAGUAAUGCAGUGUUUCGUGAGUGAUGAGUACAUUGUCAGUGAUUGCUCUCUUGGGGACGAAGGCUGAUUGAUUCUCGGAAACUACUUCUUGAAGAACAGGUUGGAGGCGUCGAGAAAGAAGCUUGGAAAUGAUCUUGUAAAACACAGUACACAGCGCAAUAGGUUGGCUGAGGAGAAGAAAGCUUGUACUUCAAUAACUAUAUUCGGACCCACUGUUUCCCAAUUUGACUGAAAGAAACUAGCUGAGAAGCCAUCGGGGCCCGGUGCCUUAUCCGCGUGAAUGGAGAAACAUGCUUUCUUAAUCUCCUC